CCCUUAGAUGUUCUGGGCCGCACGCGCGCUACACUGUUCGACGCAGCGAGUCUUAACCUUGACCGAAAGGUUUGGGUAAUCUUCAGCAAAGUCGAACGUGAUGGGGAUCGAUCAUUGCAAUUAUUGAUCGUGAACGAGGAAUUCCUAGUAAGUGCAAGUCAUCAGCUUGCGCUGAUUACGUCCCUGCCCUUUGUACACACCGCCCGUCGCUACUACCGAUUGAAUGGUUUAGUGAGAUCUCUGGAUUGACGCUGGCUAGGGGGCGACCCUUGACCAGACUGCUCGAGAAACUGCUCAAACUUGAUCAUUUAGAGGAAGUAAAAGUCGUAACA
Molecule: ribosomal RNA, 332 nt
Filed under: uncultured eukaryote
Lineage: Eukaryota
Description: partial 18S ribosomal RNA
Rfam family: Eukaryotic small subunit ribosomal RNA
Source: RNAcentral